This 673-nucleotide ribosomal RNA is filed under the name Bacillus amyloliquefaciens. Its description in RNAcentral is "bacterial SSU rRNA". It matches the Rfam family "Bacterial small subunit ribosomal RNA", at positions 31 to 682 of the family's 1533-position model. The record is from RNAcentral. Lineage: Bacteria; Bacillati; Bacillota; Bacilli; Caryophanales; Bacillaceae.
AAAUGUCGGGCCUACUGAAUUUAGACUAUCUGCAGUCGAGCGGACAGAUGGGAGCUUGCUCCCUGAUGUUAGCGGCGGACGGGUGAGUAACACGUGGGUAACCUGCCUGUAAGACUGGGAUAACUCCGGGAAACCGGGGCUAAUACCGGAUGGUUGUCUGAACCGCAUGGUUCAGACAUAAAAGGUGGCUUCGGCUACCACUUACAGAUGGACCCGCGGCGCAUUAGCUAGUUGGUGAGGUAACGGCUCACCAAGGCGACGAUGCGUAGCCGACCUGAGAGGGUGAUCGGCCACACUGGGACUGAGACACGGCCCAGACUCCUACGGGAGGCAGCAGUAGGGAAUCUUCCGCAAUGGACGAAAGUCUGACGGAGCAACGCCGCGUGAGUGAUGAAGGUUUUCGGAUCGUAAAGCUCUGUUGUCAGGGAAGAACAAGUGCCGUUCAAAUAGGGCGGCACCUUGACGGUACCUAACCAGAAAGCCACGGCUAACUACGUGCCAGCAGCCGCGGUAAUACGUAGGUGGCAAGCGUUGUCCGGAAUUAUUGGGCGUAAAGGGCUCGCAGGCGGUUUCUUAAGUCUGAUCUGAAAGCCACCGGCUCAACCGGGGAGGGUCAUUGUAAACUGGCGAACUUGAGUUCACAAUAUGAGAGUGUACUUCCACGUGUAACCUU